Molecule: long non-coding RNA, 907 nt
Organism: Balaenoptera ricei (Rice's whale)
Lineage: Eukaryota; Metazoa; Chordata; Mammalia; Artiodactyla; Balaenopteridae
Exons: 3
Source: RefSeq, a predicted model, not a curated record
ACGAUGCUGGAGCAGGAGGCAGGUGGGAAGAACAGAGUGAAAGAGGAAGGGAGAGAGCUCUUGCUGUGAUGAAUUAGAUCACCCCUGAAGACUGGCAGCACAGGGGAAGGGGGAACUGGAUGACCCUGACAGCACGGACCAAUGGCUUUAUGAUGGUCAAGGGCACACACGUGGAGUCAGAUGCUUGGGUGCAAAACACGUCUCCACCAAUUACAUGUCAUGCUACCUUACACAAGUUACUUAACCUGAUGUAAGUCUUCAUUUACUCACCUUACUAAUGAGUAUGAUAACACUAUCUCUGUCCUAGGCAUAUUUAUGAAGAUUAAAUGAGAUGAUACAUAGAAAGCACAGUGCCUGGCCCAUAAGCUUUCAACAGAAGUUAUCAAUGGAUGAUGAUGAUGAUGACCAGUCCUAAGACUGAGGAUUUGCUACAGCAGGUGGCGAAUAGGAGGACACCACCCAACAAACUCCUAACACCCAGAUCUCCUUCUCUGAGCCUGCUUUCUGGGGAACCCAAACUCUGACAGGGAUUUACUGGGGAAAGGGGUGCCCGAUCGAGUCUCUGACAUGAACAUGACAUGUUGCCUGUGAUGAUUUUAAAACAGCCCAGAUGGCUUCACUGCCCCAUCCACUACGCCUCUAGGUCACCCACCUCCAUAAUGAGAAAAUUAAGCCCAGAGAAGUUAAAGAUCCUGACAAAAACCUCCCAGCAAGAAGAAUUGAUGCUUUGGGUCAAAUCUGGCACUCCCAGACUUCAAGCCCUGUACCACACUGAAUAUUAAUUUGGCACUAUUGUAAAAAGUUAUUGUCAAAGUUAUUGUAAAAAGCUGUGACUUUAACAAGAGAAUAAGAAGAACAAAUACAGACUCAUGGAUCCCUCAUUUUACAAAUUUAGAUUUUGUAUACU